RNAcentral lists this transfer RNA (92 nucleotides) under Caudoviricetes sp. RNAcentral describes it as "tRNA-Ser". It matches the Rfam family "tRNA". Rfam says of the family: Transfer RNA (tRNA) molecules are approximately 80 nucleotides in length. Their secondary structure includes four short double-helical elements and three loops (D, anti-codon, and T loops). Lineage: Duplodnaviria; Heunggongvirae; Uroviricota; Caudoviricetes. The record is from RNAcentral.
GGAGAGUUGUCCGAGUGGCCGAAGGAGCACGAUUGGAAAUCGUGUAACAUCUAAACGGGUGUUCGAGGGUUCGAAUCCCUUGCUCUCCGCCA